Molecule: ribosomal RNA, 948 nt
Filed under: uncultured bacterium
Lineage: Bacteria
Description: bacterial SSU rRNA
Rfam family: Bacterial small subunit ribosomal RNA
Source: RNAcentral
UAAUACGAAGGGACCUAGCGUAGUUCGGAAUUACUGGGCUUAAAGAGUUCGUAGGUGUUGAAAAAGUUAGUGGUGAAUCCCAGAGCUUAACUCUGGAACUGCCAUUAAAACUUUUCAGCUAGAGUAUGAUAGAGGAAAGCAGAAUUUCUAGUGUAGAGGUGAAAUUCGUAGAUAUUAGAAAGAAUACCAAUUGCGAAGGCAGCUUUCUGGAUCAUUACUGACACUGAGGAACGAAAGCAUGGGUAGCGAAGAGGAUUAGAUACCCUCGUAGUCCAUGCCGUAAACGAUGUGUGUUAGACGUUGGAAAUUUAUUUUCAGUGUCGCAGCGAAAGCGAUAAACACACCGCCUGGGGAGUACGACCGCAAGGUUAAAACUCAAAUGAAUUGACGGGGACCCGCACAAGUAGUGGAGCAUGUGGUUUAAUUCGAAGAUACGCGCAGAACCUUACCAACACUUGACAUGUUCGUCGCGACUCUAAGAGAUUAGAGUUUUCGGUUCGGCCGGACGAAACACAGGUGCUGCAUGGCUGUCGUCAGCUCGUGUCGUGAGAUGUUGGGUUAAGUCCCGCAACGAGCGCAACCCUCACUUUUAGUUGCCAUCAUUUAGUUGGGCACUCUGAAAGAACUGCCAGUGAUAAGCUGGAGGAAGGUGGGGAUGACGUCAAGUCCUCAUGGCCCUUACGUGUUGGGCUACACACGUGCUACAAUGGUAUCUACAACAGGAAGCAAGACUGCAAGGUCAAGCAAAUCCUUAAAAGAUACCUCAGUUCGGAUUGCACUCUGCAACUCGAGUGCAUGAAGCUGGAAUUACUAGUAAUCGUGGAUCAGCGUGCCACGGUGAAUGCGUUCCCGGGUCUUGUACACACCGCCCGUCACACCAUGGGAGUUGGUUCUACCUUAAGGCAAGGUUUCAAACCCUUGACCACGGUAUAGUCAGCGACUGGGGUG